AACGAACGCUGGCGGCAGGCCUAACACAUGCAAGUCGAGCGAGGACUUCGGUCCUAGCGGCGGACGGGUGAGUAACGCGUGGGAACGUGCCCUUUGCUACGGAAUAGCCCCGGGAAACUGGGAGUAAUACCGUAUGUGCCCGAGAGGGGAAAGAUUUAUCGGCAAAGGAUCGGCCCGCGUUGGAUUAGGUAGUUGGUGGGGUAAUGGCCUACCAAGCCGACGAUCCAUAGCUGGUUUGAGAGGAUGAUCAGCCACACUGGGACUGAGACGCGGCCCAGACUCCUACGGGAGGCAGCAGUGGGGAAUCUUAGACAAUGGGGGAAACCCUGAUCUAGCCAUGCCGCGUGAGCGAUGAAGGCCUUAGGGUUGUAAAGCUCUUUCAGUGGGGAAGAUAAUGACGGUACCCACAGAAGAAGCCCCGGCUAACUCCGUGCCAGCCGCCGCGGUAA
Molecule: ribosomal RNA, 449 nt
Filed under: uncultured bacterium
Lineage: Bacteria
Description: partial 16S ribosomal RNA
Rfam family: Bacterial small subunit ribosomal RNA
Source: RNAcentral